GUGGGGAAUAUUGGACAAUGGGCGAAAGCCUGAUCCAGCCAUGCCGCGUGUGUGAAGAAGGUCUUCGGAUUGUAAAGCACUUUAAGUUGGGAGGAAGGGCAGUAAGUUAAUACCUUGCUGUUUUGACGUUACCGACAGAAUAAGCACCGGCUAACUUCGUGCCAGCAGCCGCGGUAAUACGAAGGGUGCAAGCGUUAAUCGGAAUUACUGGGCGUAAAGCGCGCAUAGGUGGUUUUGUAAGUUGGAGGUGAAAUCCCCGGGCUCAACCUGGGAACUGCCUCCAAAACUGCAUGACUAUAGUACGGUAGAGGGUAGUGGAAUUUCCUGUGUAGCGGUGAAAUGCGUAGAUAUAGGAAGGAACACCAGUGGCGAAGGCGACUACCUGGACUGAUACUGACACUGAGGUGCGAAAGCGUGGGGAGCAAACAGGAUUAGAUACCCUUGUAGUCC
RNAcentral lists this ribosomal RNA (450 nucleotides) under uncultured bacterium. RNAcentral's name for it is "bacterial SSU rRNA". It matches the Rfam family "Bacterial small subunit ribosomal RNA", at positions 354 to 796 of the family's 1533-position model. The record is from RNAcentral.